ACUGUUCGCUUAAAUAACAAAGGUUAACGCUAAGCUGCGUUGGUGUUCCUCAAAACCAUUAUGACUGAGUUUUAGGGUGGACUCCCCACUUCAGGCACAGCCAUCAUCACAGAAGAGCAUGCAGCCAUGUGGACUGACGGGCGCUACUUUCUCCAGGCUGCCAAGCAAAUGGACAGCAAUUGGACACUUAUGAAGAUGGGUCUGAAGGACACACCAACUCAGGAAGACUGGCUGGUGAGUGUGCUUCCUGAAGGAUCCAGGGUUGGUGUGGACCCCUUGAUCAUUCCUACAGAUUAUUGGAAGAAAAUGGCCAAAGUUCUGAGAAGUGCCGGCCACCACCUCAUUCCUGUCAAGGAGAACCUCGUUGACAAAAUCUGGACAGACCGUCCUGAGCGCCCUUGCAAGCCUCUCCUUACACUGGGCCUGGAUUACACAGGCAUCUCCUGGAAGGACAAGGUUGCAGAUCUUCGGUUGAAAAUGGCUGAGAGGAACGUCAUGUGGUUUGUGGUCACUGCCUUGGAUGAGAUUGCGUGGCUAUUUAAUCUCCGAGGAUCAGAUGUGGAGCACAAUCCAGU
Molecule: small RNA, 575 nt
Filed under: Pongo abelii (Sumatran orangutan)
Lineage: Eukaryota; Metazoa; Chordata; Mammalia; Primates; Hominidae
Description: processed transcript
Source: RNAcentral